UCCUCUGUAGCUCAAUUGGUAGAGCAUGGCGCUUGCAACGCCAGGAUAGGGCGUUCGAUUCCCGGGAA
This 68-nucleotide transfer RNA is filed under the name Dallia pectoralis (Alaska blackfish). Its description in RNAcentral is "tRNA-Ala". It matches the Rfam family "tRNA". From Rfam's summary of the family: Transfer RNA (tRNA) molecules are approximately 80 nucleotides in length. Lineage: Eukaryota; Metazoa; Chordata; Actinopteri; Esociformes; Umbridae. The record is from RNAcentral.